Molecule: ribosomal RNA, 587 nt
Filed under: Saccharomyces cerevisiae (brewer's yeast)
Lineage: Eukaryota; Fungi; Ascomycota; Saccharomycetes; Saccharomycetales; Saccharomycetaceae
Description: partial large subunit ribosomal RNA
Rfam family: Eukaryotic large subunit ribosomal RNA
Source: RNAcentral
GGGGAUUGCCUUAGAUACGGCGAGUGAAGCGGCAAAAGCUCAAAUUUGAAAUCUGGUACCUUCGGUGCCCGAGUUGUAAUUUGGAGAGGGCAACUUUGGGGCCGUUCCUUGUCUAUGUUCCUUGGAACAGGACGUCAUAGAGGGUGAGAAUCCCGUGUGGCGAGGAGUGCGGUUCUUUGUAAAGUGCCUUCGAAGAGUCGAGUUGUUUGGGAAUGCAGCUCUAAGUGGGUGGUAAAUUCCAUCUAAAGCUAAAUAUUGGCGAGAGACCGAUAGCGAACAAGUACAGUGAUGGAAAGAUGAAAAGAACUUUGAAAAGAGAGUGAAAAAGUACGUGAAAUUGUUGAAAGGGAAGGGCAUUUGAUCAGACAUGGUGUUUUGUGCCCUCUGCUCCUUGUGGGUAGGGGAAUCUCGCAUUUCACUGGGCCAGCAUCAGUUUUGGUGGCAGGAUAAAUCCAUAGGAAUGUAGCUUGCCUCGGUAAGUAUUAUAGCCUGUGGGAAUACUGCCAGCUGGGACUGAGGACUGCGACGUAAGUCAAGGAUGCUGGCAUAAUGGUUAUAUGCCGCCCGUCUUGAACCACGGACCAAAG